Molecule: small RNA, 29 nt
Filed under: Bombyx mori (domestic silkworm)
Lineage: Eukaryota; Metazoa; Arthropoda; Insecta; Lepidoptera; Bombycidae
Description: ovarian small RNA-8082
Source: RNAcentral
UGACCAUCACCGAGAGGAGACUGCCUCCU